UCUCCGUAGGUGAACCUGCGGAGGGAUCAUUACUGAGUGAGGGUCUCCGGGCCCGACCUCCAACCCUUUUGUGAACCACCUCGUUGCUUCGGGGGCGACCCUGCCUUCGUGCGAGGCGCCCCCGGAGGCUCAUCAAACACUGCAUCUUUGCGUCGGAGUCUUAAUGAAUUUAAACAAAACUUUUAACAACGGAUCUCUUGGUUCUGGCAUCGAUGAAGAACGCAGC
Molecule: unclassified non-coding RNA, 226 nt
Filed under: uncultured fungus
Lineage: Eukaryota; Fungi
Description: sequence contains ITS1, 5.8S rRNA gene
Rfam family: 5.8S ribosomal RNA (bases 178-226)
Source: RNAcentral